UGUGCAAGGAACACAUUGGAGAGGAGCCGCACAUCAGACGGCAGAAGGUGAAGUGCCGCAAGAAAGAAAAGGUCGAAGGGCAGAGAGAGGAGAAGAAGUCAUACGGAUCGAGAAUCAAGCUUUAUCGAAGAAUCGGGUCAACUAUAAUCCAUGCAUGUUAGAUUAAGAGUUACAAGUCGCCAACGUUCAAGAAGACUUCUUCCCCUUAAGACUCGGGCAAAUCAGUUGGAAUGGAGACGUUGAACCCGAAAGACCAGGUCUACAACGUUUGAAUGGGGAAUAUCCGCCGAAUCCCGGUUUAAUAGGGUAGUUUGUUAAAUUUCUUUUACUAUAAAUAGAUGGAUCGGAUCAAGUUAAGGCACUCACUUUUCAUUCGCACAAUUUACACUCUAGCUGCUAGCAAUCACUACACAUAAACACUUGUACUCGAAUUAUCUUGUAACACCUAGUUGAUCCGCAUCACAUCCUGCACUGUAUCCUGAUAUUUGAAUCAAUUGAAGAACAAGGCAACUGUGAUUGUCAGCUCCCGAGGUUUUGUGC
This 540-nucleotide long non-coding RNA is filed under the name Helianthus annuus (common sunflower). RNAcentral describes it as "sRNA HanXRQr2_Chr04g0169921". The record is from RNAcentral. Lineage: Eukaryota; Viridiplantae; Streptophyta; Magnoliopsida; Asterales; Asteraceae.